This 253-nucleotide ribosomal RNA is filed under the name uncultured bacterium. Its description in RNAcentral is "partial 16S ribosomal RNA". It matches the Rfam family "Bacterial small subunit ribosomal RNA", at positions 524 to 776 of the family's 1533-position model. The record is from RNAcentral.
UACAGGGGGUGCAAACGUUGCUCGGAAUCAUUGGGCGUAAAGCGCACGUAGGCGGUUCGUUAUGUCGGAUGUGAAAGCCCUUGGCUUAACCGAGGAAGUGCAUUCGAAACUGGCGAGCUAGAGUACUAAAGAGGAUCGCGGAAUUCCCGGUGUAGAGGUGAAAUUCGUAGAUAUCGGGAGGAACACCGGUGGCGAAGGCGGCGAUCUGGGUAGAUACUGACGCUGAGGAACGAAAGCCAGGGGAGCAAACGGG